Long non-coding RNA from Bufo gargarizans (Asiatic toad), 161 nucleotides. RefSeq lists it as uncharacterized. NCBI's taxonomy places the organism in Eukaryota, Metazoa, Chordata, Amphibia, Anura, Bufonidae. The record is from RefSeq and is a predicted model, not a curated record. The transcript has 3 exons.
GGUGCACGUCUCUCAAGUCGGCGUCUCCGGAACAAAAUGUGAAGAUAAGACCAGCACUAACUGAAUCCUGUUGAUGGCCAGAGAGCAGGACAUGGUGUUAACUGGGCAAGUUAAACAGUCAGAGAUGUACUAUCUUUCUCCAUUCUGUAAAUGUUGGAAAU